RNAcentral lists this non-coding RNA (214 nucleotides) under Acetonema longum. RNAcentral's name for it is "T-box sequence". It matches the Rfam family "T-box leader". From Rfam's summary of the family: Uncharged tRNA acts as the effector for transcription antitermination of genes in the T-box leader family. T-boxes are found upstream of many aminoacyl-tRNA synthetase genes and some amino acid biosynthetic genes usually in Gram-positive bacteria. Lineage: Bacteria; Bacillati; Bacillota; Negativicutes; Acetonemataceae. The record is from RNAcentral.
UGAAUAGUAAUGACGGAAAUAAGUAGGUUUAUGGCUACACCAUCCAGAGAGCCGGUGGCUGGUGCGAACCGGUUGGCGACAUAGACUGAAAUACCUUCCUGAACUGCGAGGCUGAACGACAGUAGGCUGAGCCGGAGUGGCGCUCGUUAAUGUGCUAUGAGUUGAUCUGAUUCGAGAUUAUUAGGGUGGUACCGCGGAGCAUUCCGUCCCUUGC